RNAcentral lists this transfer-messenger RNA (350 nucleotides) under Monoglobaceae. RNAcentral describes it as "UMGS1820 sp905201285 Standard tmRNA". It matches the Rfam family "transfer-messenger RNA". From Rfam's summary of the family: Bacterial tmRNA, also known as 10Sa RNA or SsrA, is named for its dual tRNA and mRNA-like properties. Its role is to liberate the mRNA from a stalled ribosome. Lineage: Bacteria; Bacillati; Bacillota; Clostridia; Monoglobales. RNAcentral also lists the same sequence under 2 other names. The record is from RNAcentral.
GGGGAUGUAAAGGCUUCGACGGGGUCGCGGAGACUCAGGGAGCGAGCCGCAGCGGGUACUGCGUUAAAAACCCAACUUUUUAAAAUUAAACGCUAACAAUAAUUUAGCUUACGCUGCCUAAUUAACGCAGCUGCCUUCCUGCGGUUACCGCGCCCGCAGAGCAAGGUAUCAUCCAAGCGGUGAACGUGAGCGGGGAAAGCUUUGACCCCGCCAUGAACCUAUGAAGCUACCGUCAUCUCAGGCUUGCUUGUGAGCCUGAGAUGUUCGGGAAUAUCAAUCACAAGCUACGCUCGUAGCGCCCUGUGGGGACGCUUCUUCGGACAGGGGUUCAAUUCCCCUCAUCUCCACCA